This 484-nucleotide ribosomal RNA is filed under the name uncultured bacterium. Its description in RNAcentral is "partial 16S ribosomal RNA". It matches the Rfam family "Bacterial small subunit ribosomal RNA", at positions 30 to 507 of the family's 1533-position model. The record is from RNAcentral.
AUUGAACGCUGGCGGCAUGCUUUACACAUGCAAGUCGAACGGUAACAGGGAGCUUGCUCCUCUGUCGAGUGGCGAACGGGUGAGUAAUAUAUCGGAACGUACCCAAUAGUGGGGGAUAACGUAGCGAAAGUUACGCUAAUACCGCAUACGAUCUAAGGAUGAAAGCAGGGGACCUUCGGGCCUUGUGCUCCUGGAGCGGCCUAUAUCUGAUUAGCUAGUUGGUGAGGUAAAGGCUCACCAAGGCGACGAUCAGUAGCUGGUCUGAGAGGACGACCAGCCACACUGGAACUGAGACACGGUCCAGACUCCUACGGGAGGCAGCAGUGGGGAAUGUUGGACAAUGGGCGCAAGCCUGAUCCAGCAAUGCCGCGUGAGUGAAGAAGGCCUUCGGGUUGUAAAGCUCUUUUGUCAGGGAAGAAACGGGAUUGGCUAAUAUCCAGUCCUAAUGACGGUACCUGAAGAAUAAGCACCGGCUAACUACGUG